UACAGAGGUCUCAAGCGUUGUUCGAUUCAUUGGGCGUAAAGGGUGCGUAGGUGGCGCCGUAAGUCGGAUGUGAAAGCCCUCGGCUCAACCGAGGAAGUGCAUACGAAACUGGCGAGCUUGAAUAUGGAAGAGGGUCGCGGAAUUCCCGGUGUAGAGGUGAAAUUCGUAGAUAUCGGGAGGAACACCAGUGGCGAAGGCGGCGACCUGGGCCAAUAUUGACGCUGAGGUGCGAAAGCGUGGGGAGCAAACAGG
This 252-nucleotide ribosomal RNA is filed under the name uncultured bacterium. Its description in RNAcentral is "partial 16S ribosomal RNA". It matches the Rfam family "Bacterial small subunit ribosomal RNA", at positions 524 to 776 of the family's 1533-position model. The record is from RNAcentral.